UCGUUUAUGCGUUCAUUUGUUCAGUUAAAAAUAAACAAAAGCUUCGUUCUUGUUCAUUCAGUUAUUUUACAACUUUAAUCCUACUCAUAUCUUUCCCUAGAAUCCUCGAAAGUUGCACAUUGGUGGUCCCAGAUGGGGUCGGGUCGGUCUUGAAACGGUCCAUUUUAUUGGGCCGUUUCGCAACAAUCCAUUUUUUCGAACCUAACUUUUUUGAUCCGAUCAUUUUUGGGACUUAUAUUGCGGUUUUUCUGUGCGUCUUUUUUUUUUUUAGUUUGGUUUCGAUUUUGAGUUUUUCCAUCAACAAAUAUUUGAUUAACACUAAAAUGAUAGAUUAAAUAUUUAUUAAAAAUGGUACGCUUAAGUUUAAUAAAAGAAAAAAAGGAAAAUAGUUAGAUAAUGUGAUUCAAAUUUGUGUAAUUAACUAGCUAUCGGUCUUUUGUAUAACUGGUCUCGGAACGACCCGGUUUUUUUGGACCGGUCUCGGAAGGUUGGUUUUAUUCGGACCGCUCCCAGACGGUCUCGGGCCAGGUUUUUUUUAAGACCGGCAUUUUUUUCAGUCUGAUCCGAAAUCGGUCUUUUUUGCAUUUCUACUAAACUGAUUGCAGAUCGGAUUCCUGAUUCUGUAAAAGAACCGGAUCGCAGCCUACCUUAACCCGUAUGUAUAAUAUGUACUCAUUUAGCCCAAAUUUAAUAAAGUAGCCCAUUAGCCCAGUCUGUUAAGGCCCCAAGUUCUCGUCGGAGACUCGGAGUAGGGAAAGAGAACUGUGGCUCUGUGGAGAGAGAGAGAGAGCAGCAGCAGCAGACGAUCUGCGAUUUUUGUGUAUUUGUAAGAUAGGAGAAGGAGAAUGGUGAGAUCGAUGGCAUGGGGAUACAUUAGGAUCAUGGCAGGGACCAUCGUCGGCGGAGGUGCCGGGUUUUACGUCAUGCACCGCCUCGAAAUCAGCUACAAGGAGAAGUGGGAUGAACGAUUGAGGAAUUACGAGGAACAGCUGAACAAAAAGAAACAGAAUCCAAAAGAACUUGAAGAAGCCCUAUGAGUAACUACAUACAUCUCUUCCUUCAUACUUUGUUGAAUUUGCAAAACGUUUCUAGGUUUAUGAUACUGGAAACAGCGAUGUAUAAUUAUUCUCUUAACUCUUAAAAUUCCAGAAAUACAUCAACAUAAGAUUUCAAUUGAAUGAUAAAUGUUGUUAAAUUCUAUUGAUUUUUAUGUAAUUUUUGUUGGGAAGUAUUGUAUCCAAAACAUUUUAGGGAUUUUUAUAAUUUGUGCCCCUUUUUGUAAAAAGGAAAUCAUAAUGAUAAUAUGAAUUGAAAGUA
This is a non-coding RNA of Lactuca sativa (garden lettuce), 1317 nucleotides long. The record is from RefSeq and is a predicted model, not a curated record. NCBI's taxonomy places the organism in Eukaryota, Viridiplantae, Streptophyta, Magnoliopsida, Asterales, Asteraceae.